CAGCCGCCGCGGUAAUACGUAGGUGGCGAGCGUUGUCCGGAAUUACUGGGUGUAAAGGGAGUGUAGGCGGGACUUCAAGUCAGGUGUGAAAUCUAUGGGCUCAACCCAUAGCGUGCACUUGAAACUGUAGUUCUUGAGUGAAGUAGAGGCAAGCGGAAUUCCUAGUGUAGCGGUAAAAUGCGUAGAUAUUAGGAGGAACACCAGUGGCGAAGGCGGCUUGCUGGGCUUUUACUGACGCUGAGGCUCGAAAGCGUGGGGAGCAAACAGGAUUAGAUACCCUGGUAGUCCACGCCGUAAACGAUGAUUACUAGGUGUGGGGGAGUUGACCUCUUCCGUGCCGGCGCUAACGCAAUAAGUAAUCCACCUGGGGAGUACGACCGCAAGGUUGAAACUCAAAGGAAUUGACGGGGGCCCGCACAAGCAGUGGAGUAUGUGGAUUAAUUCGAUGCAACGCGAAGAACCUUACCAGGUCUUGACAUCAAGUGACCGCCUUGGAAACAAGGCCUUCCCUUCGGGGACACGAAGACAGGUGGUGCAUGGCC
This 542-nucleotide ribosomal RNA is filed under the name uncultured archaeon. Its description in RNAcentral is "bacterial SSU rRNA". It matches the Rfam family "Bacterial small subunit ribosomal RNA", at positions 509 to 1050 of the family's 1533-position model. The record is from RNAcentral.